AGCAGUACCGCGGUAAUACGUAGGUCCCGAGCGUUGUCCGGAUUUAUUGGGCGUAAAGGGAGCGCAGGCGGUUUAGUAAGUCUGAAGUUAAAGGCAUUGGCUCAACCAAUGUAUGCUUUGGAAACUGUUAGACUUGAGUGCAGAAGGGGAGAGUGGAAUUCCAUGUGUAGCGGUGAAAUGCGUAGAUAUAUGGAGGAACACCGGUGGCGAAAGCGGCUCUCUGGUCUGUCACUGACGCUGAGGCUCGAAAGCGUGGGUAGCGAACAGGAUUAGAUACCCCCGUAGUCCCUGUCUCUUAUACAC
RNAcentral lists this ribosomal RNA (303 nucleotides) under uncultured bacterium. Its description in RNAcentral is "partial 16S ribosomal RNA". It matches the Rfam family "Bacterial small subunit ribosomal RNA", at positions 510 to 809 of the family's 1533-position model. The record is from RNAcentral.